GCCAACUCUCAUCAACUGUCAUCCUCGUUUGACCAUGCACUGCAAAAACAAAUGGACUCAAAAAACUUGUAUAUCAAACAAAUAAUACAUCAACAGUGACUCAAAAGACUUACACGCACUACACUACUUUUGCCGAAAACUGUCGUAUGCAACCUGCUCACAACUUAAGUUGUACUGUGUAAAUCACCACUUUCUGACAGACUACGCACUCCGUAAUUCGCAGUCCGUUAUUUUCACCAUGCCCUAUGUUAUUCAAUUUGAUCCCACAACAUUGCAACAUCUCAUUGGCAUUGAACCGAACAAAGACUAGCCAAUGAGAAUCUGUCAUUUGUAAAAGCCCACUUCAUGCAAGCACCCACUUGUUUUCCUUGUAUACAAAAUGACAAUGGUUAUGAAUUAAUGCACGGAUGCACACAACAGUACUUCGGUGGUUUUUUG
Molecule: non-coding RNA, 438 nt
Organism: Paramuricea clavata
Lineage: Eukaryota; Metazoa; Cnidaria; Anthozoa; Malacalcyonacea; Plexauridae
Source: the annotation of a GenBank genome assembly